AUUGAACGCUGGCGGCAUGCCUUACACAUGCAAGUCGAACGGCAGCACGGGUGCUUGCACCUGGUGGCGAGUGGCGAACGGGUGAGUAAUACAUCGGAACAUGUCCUGUAGUGGGGGAUAGCCCGGCGAAAGCCGGAUUAAUACCGCAUACGAUCUACGGAUGAAAGCGGGGGACCUUCGGGCCUCGCGCUAUAGGGUUGGCCGAUGGCUGAUUAGCUAGUUGGUGGGGUAAAGGCCUACCAAGGCGACGAUCAGUAGCUGGUCUGAGAGGACGACCAGCCACACUGGGACUGAGACACGGCCCAGACUCCUACGGGAGGCAGCAGUGGGGAAUUUUGGACAAUGGGCGAAAGCCUGAUCCAGCAAUGCCGCGUGUGUGAAGAAGGCCUUCGGGUUGUAAAGCACUUUUGUCCAGAAAGAAAUCCUUGGCUCUAAUACAGUCGGGGGAUGACGGUACCGGAAGAAUAAGCACCGGCUAACUACGUG
RNAcentral lists this ribosomal RNA (486 nucleotides) under uncultured bacterium. Its description in RNAcentral is "partial 16S ribosomal RNA". It matches the Rfam family "Bacterial small subunit ribosomal RNA", at positions 30 to 507 of the family's 1533-position model. The record is from RNAcentral.